Molecule: ribosomal RNA, 854 nt
Filed under: uncultured fungus
Lineage: Eukaryota; Fungi
Description: bacterial SSU rRNA
Rfam family: Eukaryotic small subunit ribosomal RNA
Source: RNAcentral
UGAAUAAUGAAAUAGGACGUGCGGUUCUAUUUUGUUGGUUUCUGGGACCGCCGUAAUGAUUAAUAGGGAUAGUCGGGGGCGUCAGUAUUCAGCUGUCAGAGGUGAAAUUCUUGGAUUUGCUGAAGACUAACUACUGCGAAAGCAUUCGCCAAGGAUGUUUUCAUUAAUCAGGGAACGAAAGUUAGGGGAUCGAAGACGAUCAAAUACCGUCGUAGUCUUAACCAUAAACUAUGCCGACUAGGGAUCGGACGGGAUUCUAUUAUGACCCGUUCGGCACCUUACGAGAAAUCAAAGUUUUUGGGUUCUGGGGGGAGUAUGGUCGCAAGGAUGAAACUUAAAGAAAUUGACGGAAGGGCACCACAGGGCGUGGAGCCUGCGGCUUAGUUUGACUCAACUCGGGGAAACUCACCAGGUCCAGACAAGAUAAUGAUUGACAGAUUGAAAGCUCUUUCUUGAUCUUUUGGAUGGUGGUGCAUGGCCGUUCUUAUGUGGUGGAGUGAUGUGUCUGCUUAGUUGCAAUAAAAAACCAUCCCACCCCCCUUCGGUAUCCCGUACCGCAUUUGCUACGCCGCUGGCUUCUUAGGCUUCCUAUCGGCUCUUUCGUUCCCUGAUGCGUGAAAACAUCCUUGCUGAGAUGCUUUCUCAUGUUCUGGUCUUCACGCAUGCUACAAUGACACCUCUGACAACUACAUACUGACACCCCAGACUAUCGCUAUUAAUCGUUACGGCGUGUCCCAGAUGCCGACAAAAUAGUAGCCGCACGUCCUAUUUCAUUAUUCCAUCGCAUGCCCGCCGACCGCCAUGGGCAGACCUGCAAAAUGCGACGAUGGAUCCAUUCGCCUAUAGAGGUCUGC